GGCCUAACCAUGCAAGUCGAGCGGCAGCGGAAAGUAGCUUGCUACUUUGCCGGCGAGCGGCGGACGGGUGAGUAAUGUCUGGGAAACUGCCUGAUGGAGGGGGAUAACUACUGGAAACGGUAGCUAAUACCGCAUAAUGUCGCAAGACCAAAGAGGGGGACCUUCGGGCCUCUUGCCAUCAGAUGUGCCCAGAUGGGAUUAGCUAGUAGGUGGGGUAAUGGCUCACCUAGGCGACGAUCCCUAGCUGGUCUGAGAGGAUGACCAGCCACACUGGAACUGAGACACGGUCCAGACUCCUACGGGAGGCAGCAGUGGGGAAUAUUGCACAAUGGGCGCAAGCCUGAUGCAGCCAUGCCGCGUGUAUGAAGAAGGCCUUCGGGUUGUAAAGUACUUUCAGCGGGGAGGAAGGUGUUGAGGUUAAUAACCUCAGCAAUUGACGUUACCCGCAGAAGAAGCACCGGCUAACUCCGUGCCAGCAGCCGCGGUAAUACGGAGGGUGCAAGCGUUAAUCGGAAUUACUGGGCGUAAAGCGCACGCAGGCGGUCUGUCAAGUCGGAUGUGAAAUCCCCGGGCUCAACCUGGGAACUGCAUUCGAAACUGGCAGGGUUAAUCCUUGUUGAGGGGGGUAGAAUUCCAGGUGUAGCGGUGAAAUGCGUAGAGAUCUGGAGGAAUACCGGUGGCGAAGGCGGCCCCCCUGGACAAAGACUGACGCUUCGGUGC
RNAcentral lists this ribosomal RNA (720 nucleotides) under Enterobacteriaceae bacterium HPCKc-32. RNAcentral's name for it is "bacterial SSU rRNA". It matches the Rfam family "Bacterial small subunit ribosomal RNA", at positions 45 to 754 of the family's 1533-position model. Lineage: Bacteria; Pseudomonadati; Pseudomonadota; Gammaproteobacteria; Enterobacterales; Enterobacteriaceae. The record is from RNAcentral.